ACGGAAAAAAACACAUACUGAAACUUUUUAGUCCCUGUGUAAUAAGGUAGGCAUCAAUAAAUUUUGACGCAAAUUUUCGAAUUUUCGGGGUUUCGGUAGUGGGUAAA
Molecule: non-coding RNA, 107 nt
Filed under: Hydra vulgaris (swiftwater hydra)
Lineage: Eukaryota; Metazoa; Cnidaria; Hydrozoa; Anthoathecata; Hydridae
Source: RNAcentral